Molecule: transfer-messenger RNA, 352 nt
Filed under: Acidobacteriota bacterium
Lineage: Bacteria; Pseudomonadati; Acidobacteriota
Also listed under: 1 other name
Description: Acidobacteria bacterium (permafrost metagenome) transfer-messenger RNA
Rfam family: transfer-messenger RNA
About the family: Bacterial tmRNA, also known as 10Sa RNA or SsrA, is named for its dual tRNA and mRNA-like properties. Its role is to liberate the mRNA from a stalled ribosome. To accomplish this part of the tmRNA is used as a reading frame that ends in a translation stop signal.
Source: RNAcentral
GGGGGCGAAACGGCUUCGACGGGGGCAUGGGGUCGCGGGAUGCAUGCCGAGCGCCACCUGCUCGUAAAUCCGGUGGAACAACCAUAACUGCGAACACGCAGCUCGCUCUCGCGGCUUAAGUAACCGCGACGUCCACCUCGUCCGUGCCUGCGCGGCGGGACUGGAUGUCAUUUCAGCAGGCUGGCCGCGCCGGGCGCUCUGGACCGUGCGUGGCGAGACGCUUUCGGAGAUAGCGGCUGGCGGUUUUCGCCUCUUUUCCAGGCCGGCUGCGAAAUCACAGAAGAGGACAUGCAUGUAGAGUCCCCCGAUGACGUGCUUUCGGACGCGGGUUCAACUCCCGCCGCCUCCACCA